This 491-nucleotide ribosomal RNA is filed under the name uncultured bacterium. Its description in RNAcentral is "partial 16S ribosomal RNA". It matches the Rfam family "Bacterial small subunit ribosomal RNA", at positions 29 to 506 of the family's 1533-position model. The record is from RNAcentral.
AGUGAGCGCUGGCGGUAGGCCUAACACAUGCAAGUCGAACGGCAGCACAGUAAGAGCUUGCUCUUACGGGUGGCGAGUGGCGGACGGGUGCGGAAUACAUCGGAAUCUACUUUUUCGUGGGGGAUAACGUAGGGAAACUUACGCUAAUACCGCAUACGACCUACGGGUGAAAGCAGGGGAUCUUCGGACCUUGCGCGAUUGAAUGAGCCGAUGUCGGAUUAGCUAGUUGGCGGGGUAAAGGCCCACCAAGGCGACGAUCCGUAGCUGGUCUGAGAGGAUGAUCAGCCACACUGGAACUGAGACACGGACCAGACUCCGACGUGAGGCAGCAGUGGGGAAUAUUGGACAAUGAGCGCAAGCCUGAUCCAGCCAUACCGCGUGGGUGAAGAAGGCCUUCGGGUUGUAAAGCCCUUUUGUUGGGAAAGAAAAGCAGCAGGUUAAUACCCCGCUGUUCUGACGGUACCCAAAGAAUAAGCACCGGCUAACUUCGU